UACAGAGGGUGCGAGCGUUAAUCGGAAUUACUGGGCGUAAAGCGCGCGUAGGCGGUUUUGUAAGUCGGGUGUGAAAUCCCCAAGCUUAACUUGGGAACUGCACUCGAGACUGCAUGGCUAGAGUAUGGGAGAGGGAAGUGGAAUUUCAGGUGUAGCGGUGAAAUGCGUAGAUAUCAGGAGGAAUACCUAUGGCGAAAGCAGGUAUCUGGGCCACAACUGACGCUGAGCUGCGAAAGCUAGGGGAGCAAACAGG
This 253-nucleotide ribosomal RNA is filed under the name uncultured prokaryote. RNAcentral describes it as "partial 16S ribosomal RNA". It matches the Rfam family "Bacterial small subunit ribosomal RNA", at positions 524 to 776 of the family's 1533-position model. The record is from RNAcentral.